This 460-nucleotide ribosomal RNA is filed under the name uncultured bacterium. RNAcentral describes it as "partial 16S ribosomal RNA". It matches the Rfam family "Bacterial small subunit ribosomal RNA", at positions 338 to 795 of the family's 1533-position model. The record is from RNAcentral.
CCUACGGGAGGCAGCAGUGGGGAAUAUUGGUCAAUGGACGCAAGUCUGAUCCAGCCAUGCCGCGUGCAGGAAGACGUCUCUAUGAGUUGUAAACUGCUUUUGUACGAGGGUAAACGCAGAUACGCGUAUCUGUCUCAAAGUAUAGUACGAAUAAGGAUCGGCUAACUCCGGGCCAGCAGCCGCGGUAAUACGGAUGAUUCAAGCGUUAUCCGGAGUUAUGGGGUUUAAAGGGUGCGUAGGCGGUCGGAUAAGUUAGAGGUGAAGUCCCGAGGCUCAACUUCGGAAUUGCCUUGGAUACUGGUCGGCUAGAGAGUAGUUGAGGUAGGCGGAAUGUAUGGUGUAGCGGUGAAAUGCUUAGAGAUCAUAAAGAACACCGAUUGCGAAGGCAGCUUACCAAGCUACUUCUGACGUUGAGGCACGAAAGCGUGGGGAGCAAACAGGAUUAGAUACCCUGGUAGUC